RNAcentral lists this unclassified non-coding RNA (330 nucleotides) under fungal sp. RNAcentral's name for it is "partial internal transcribed spacer region". The stretch from base 1 to 46 matches the Rfam family "Eukaryotic small subunit ribosomal RNA", at positions 1786 to 1831 of the family's 1831-position model. Lineage: Eukaryota; Fungi. The record is from RNAcentral.
AAGUCGUAGCAAGGUUUCCGCAGGUGAACCUGCGGAAGGAUCAUUAAACAACAACCCUGACCUUCAGCGUGUUCUUGCAGCCCGAGUAAAUCAGGAGCUAAAGAUUUACAGAUUUUGAUUUUGGGAAGUUCUGUGUGCACGUGGACGCUCCAAUUGAGCGCUAGAUAAAGCACCCUGGUACCUAGAGCAAUCCCCUGAAAGCGGCAAGGGAUCAAUGUUCGGGGCAGUCAACGAUCGCAGGUCCACACGACCGGCGACCGGGGUGGACGAAAGCCCCUAUGUACCCUCCGGGACUUGGCGAAAGCUGCCUCCGUCAUAAAUCGAGUUCUC